CCUACGGGAGGCAGCAGUGGGGAAUUUUGGACAAUGGGCGAAAGCCUGAUCCAGCAAUGCCGCGUGUGUGAAGAAGGCCUUCGGGUUGUAAAGCACUUUUGUCCGGAAAGAAAUCCUUGACUCUAAUACAGUCGGGGGAUGACGGUACCGGAAGAAUAAGCACCGGCUAACUACGUGCCAGCAGCCGCGGUAAUACGUAGGGUGCGAGCGUUAAUCGGAAUUACUGGGCGUAAAGCGUGCGCAGGCGGUUUGCUAAGACCGAUGUGAAAUCCCCGGGCUCAACCUGGGAACUGCAUUGGUGACUGGCAGGCUAGAGUAUGGCAGAGGGGGGUAGAAUUCCACGUGUAGCAGUGAAAUGCGUAGAGAUGUGGAGGAAUACCGAUGGCGAAGGCAGCCCCCUGGGCCAAUACUGACGCUCAUGCACGAAAGCGUGGGGAGCAAACAGGAUUAGAUACCCUGGUAGUCCACGCCCUAAACGAUGUCAACUAGUGUUGGGAUUCAUUCUUAGUACGUAGUCUACGCGUGUAGUAGACGCGUGGAGGUACGGUCGCGAGAGUAAACGUUAAAGUAAGUAGACGCGNGAGAGUAGACGAGACGACGACGAGGGAGAGG
RNAcentral lists this ribosomal RNA (612 nucleotides) under uncultured bacterium. RNAcentral's name for it is "bacterial SSU rRNA". The stretch from base 1 to 536 matches the Rfam family "Bacterial small subunit ribosomal RNA", at positions 338 to 873 of the family's 1533-position model. The record is from RNAcentral.